This 230-nucleotide ribosomal RNA is filed under the name Salmonella enterica subsp. enterica serovar Kentucky. RNAcentral describes it as "partial 23S ribosomal RNA". It matches the Rfam family "Bacterial large subunit ribosomal RNA", at positions 1 to 222 of the family's 2925-position model. Lineage: Bacteria; Pseudomonadati; Pseudomonadota; Gammaproteobacteria; Enterobacterales; Enterobacteriaceae. The record is from RNAcentral.
GGGUUGUGAGGUUAAGCGACUAAGCGUACACGGUGGAUGCCCUGGCAGUCAGAGGCGAUGAAGGACGUGCUAAUCUGCGAUAAGCGUCGGUAAGGUGAUAUGAACCGUUAUAACCGGCGAUUUCCGAAUGGGGAAACCCAGUGUGAUUCGUCACACUAUCGUUAACUGAAUACAUAGGUUAACGAAGCGAACCGGGGGAACUGAAACAUCUAAGUACCCCGAGGAAAAGA